RNAcentral lists this ribosomal RNA (481 nucleotides) under uncultured bacterium. RNAcentral's name for it is "partial 16S ribosomal RNA". It matches the Rfam family "Bacterial small subunit ribosomal RNA", at positions 30 to 507 of the family's 1533-position model. The record is from RNAcentral.
AUUGAACGCUGGCGGCAUGCCUUACACAUGCAAGUCGAACGGUAACGGGCCUUCGGGUGCCGACGAGUGGCGAACGGGUGAGUAAUACAUCGGAACGUGCCCGAUCGUGGGGGAUAACGAGGCGAAAGCUUUGCUAAUACCGCAUACGAUCUACGGAUGAAAGCAGGGGACCGCAAGGCCUUGCGCGGACGGAGCGGCCGAUGGCAGAUUAGGUAGUUGGUGGGAUAAAAGCUUACCAAGCCGACGAUCUGUAGCUGUUCUGAGAGAUGAUCAGCCACACUGGGACUGAGACACGGCCCAGACUCCUACGGGAGGCAGCAGUGGGGAAUUUUGGACAAUGGGCGCAAGUCUGAUCCAGCCAUGCCGCGUGCAGGAUGAAGGCCUUCGGGUUGUAAACUGCUUUUGUACGGAACGAAAAGCCUUCUUUUAAUACAGGAGGGUCAUGACGGUACCGUAAGAAUAAGCACCGGCUAACUACGUG